GAUGAACGCUGGCGGCGUGCCUAAUACAUGCAAGUCGAGCGAACGGACGAGAAGCUUGCUUCUCUGAUGUUAGCGGCGGACGGGUGAGUAACACGUGGAUAACCUACCUAUAAGACUGGGAUAACUUCGGGAAACCGUAGCUAAUACCGGAUAAUAUUUUGAACCGCAUGGUUCAAAAGUGAAAGACGGUCUUGCUGUCACUUAUAGAUGGAUCCGCGCUGCAUUAGCUAGUUGGUAAGGUAACGGCUUACCAAGGCAACGAUGCAUAGCCGACCUGAGAGGGUGAUCGGCCACACGGGAACUGGGACACGUUCCAGACUCCUACGGGAGGCAGCAGUAGGGAAUCUUCCGCAAUGGGCGAAAGCCUGACGGAGCAACGCCGCGUGAGUGAUGAAGGUCUUCGGAUCGUAAAACUCUGUUAUUAGGGAAGAACAUAUGUGUAAGUACCUGUGCACAUCUUGACGGUACCUAAUCAGAAAGCCACGGCUAACUACGUG
Molecule: ribosomal RNA, 497 nt
Filed under: uncultured bacterium
Lineage: Bacteria
Description: partial 16S ribosomal RNA
Rfam family: Bacterial small subunit ribosomal RNA
Source: RNAcentral